Molecule: small nucleolar RNA, 134 nt
Organism: Sorex araneus (European shrew)
Lineage: Eukaryota; Metazoa; Chordata; Mammalia; Eulipotyphla; Soricidae
Source: RefSeq, a predicted model, not a curated record
AACCAAAGUGUUGAGCCUAGUUCAGGGCUGCUUCCCUGUUCUGGUAAUUCAACUUUGGGACAUUAAAACCAGGUCUGAGAGGGAUGAUUGGGUAGAAGGUAUGGUUCUAUUCAUUUUCCUCCUCGCCUACAAAA